This 433-nucleotide ribosomal RNA is filed under the name uncultured bacterium. Its description in RNAcentral is "partial 16S ribosomal RNA". It matches the Rfam family "Bacterial small subunit ribosomal RNA", at positions 29 to 507 of the family's 1533-position model. The record is from RNAcentral.
AGCGAACGCUGGCGGCAGGCCUAACACAUGCAAGUCGAACGAACUCUUCGGAGUUAGUGGCGGACGGGUGAGUAACACGUGGGAACGUGCCUUUUGGUUCGGAAUAACUCAGGGAAACUUGUGCUAAUACCGAAUGUGCCCUUCGGGGGAAAGAUUUAUCGCCAUUAGAGCGGCCCGCGUCUGAUUAGCUAGUUGGUGAGGUAACGGCUCACCAAGGCGACGAUCAGUAGCUGGUCUGAGAGGAUGACCAGCCACACUGGGACUGAGACACGGCCCAGACUCCUACGGGAGGCAGCAGUGGGGAAUCUUGCGAAAUGGGCGAAAGGCUGACGCAGCCAUGCCGCGUGAAUGAUGAAGGUCUUAGGAUUGUAAAAUUCUUUCACCGGGGACGAUAAUGACGGUACCCGGAGAAGAAGCCCCGGCUAACUUCGUG